This 301-nucleotide long non-coding RNA is filed under the name Nicotiana benthamiana. Its description in RNAcentral is "long non-coding RNA (NBEN_LNC028386)". Lineage: Eukaryota; Viridiplantae; Streptophyta; Magnoliopsida; Solanales; Solanaceae. The record is from RNAcentral.
UGGAAUGAUAAGCCUCCUCCAUUACCCUCUCUCGAAGAUUAUCCAAAUCUGGGACACAUAACCUGUCGUGGCACCGUAGCACACCAUCAUUGCUGCCGAGUGAAAAUGCUGAAAUUUUGUUACUUAAGAGCUGCCUCCUUCAAAUGUGCCAAUGCUGGAUCAAUACACUGCUUUUCUUUAACCUUUGCCACGAGCAACAAUUAUGCUGUAUUAUGCACCAUAAGUUCCUCCUCAUUCGGGGCCGAGAUACAAACCCCAAGGCUGGCCAAUUGAUGUACCUCCGGAGCAAGGAACCUCUAAU